UGCAAUUUUCAUCUUCUAAUUUUAAUAAUCACUUUUAAAUAGUACUCAAAUGACGACAUAUAUCUUUGAAGGAUACUCCAGAUAUGGUGGCCCAUUAGAAUCUUCAAUGCAGAACUGUGGGGAAAGACCAACCAAGAACCCCUGCAUAUAAUCAUCCGGAGAAAGAAGUGGGGAUGGAUAGGACACACACUGCGCAGACCACCGGGUGACAUUCAAAGACAGGAUUUGGAAUGGAACCCUGCUGGGAGAAGGAGAAGGGGACGACCCCGUGAUACAUGGAGAAGAGAUGUGCACAAGGAACUGAAGGAUGCGGGAAAGGAAUGGCGAGAGAUGAAGGUUCCAGCUCAGAAUCGUGUGAGAUGGAGGCUUGCUGUUGGUGCCCUAUGUUCCACUAGGAACAAAGCGGAUUAAGCAGUAAUUAAAUUGCUCAGGAAAUUGACAGAAUUUAUGAGGAACGGCUAGAGGCAGCAAGUGAAGGAAAAGAUAUCCAGUUGGAGAUAUUCCAGCACUGGGUAAAAGACCUUAGAGAGCAGAAUGACAAUUUGAAACAUGUAGUAAUCAAAUUAGAGCAAGACUUCCUAAAUCAGUGCAUGAACUGUUGUGAGAUGGAGCAAUAUAACCAGAAAAGAAUUGAGGACAUGAAAAAGAUGCUGAGUUUCAAAGAAAAGAUAAUUGAAAGACAGAAAAAUUUUAUUGAGCAAAUGAGAAACUACAAAUUUCCAAAUCAAAACAAACCGAACAGAUUUGGAUUGAAUAAUACUCAGUUAUAUGACCUAAAGUCGAACACCCAGAAUAAGAGAGGAGGUAGUCAUGAUUUUUCAACUAAUAAUGCAGACAUUGAGCAUGAUGAUUUAAAUAACAAUCAAACAAGUGACAAAAACUUUGAUCCUUGCAAUUGCAAAAGUAAAAGUAAGAGAGGGAAUAGUGGAGAAUCUACAAAAUACAACGACAUCCUGAACAAUCACAAAGACGAUAAAGUGAAUGAGUUGACAGCGCAAUUGGAAGAGAAGGAGAAACUCAUUUCUAAUCUCCAAGAACAGUUAAAAACAUUAAAAUGUAUGCCAAACGAAGUCAAGCCUCUGAUUGCCAAGAUAAAGGAGUUUGUGAAAACAAUGAGUGAAAUCCUGAAGAAAUCGCGCAAUGAGGAUUCCAUUAUGAGACUUCUCACUUGUCUGGAAUGCAUUUCGCUCUGUCUAAAUGAACUUCAACUGAUUGUUGACCAUUAUAAGGAGAAUCAAAGAGAGAAGAUAACACCGAGGGUGACUCUGAACAACGACUCUAGUUCUGUCACCGAAAUAUUCAGACGAAAGCCACCUGAAUCAUCAGAAACUUCAGUGAAGAAUGAUGUGAGAAAUCUAAUGAGAGAGGUUCAUGAUCAGGAAGAAGUAAUUGAUAGUUUGAGAAACGCACUGGCUGAUGCUCAGGAUCAUAUUAAAAGUCUCAACGCUAGUAACUAUGCUCUCAAGAAAAAAAAUGAAUGUGCUUGUAAGUGAAUGAAUGAGAUCACAACAUAAAAAUGAAAACUUGAAAAGUGAAAAACUAUGAGAAAUGAACGUGGAAUAAAAAAGACUGAGGGCAGUAUGUAAAAUUCAUCGACAAUAUAUUUUCGUCAAAGAACAUUUAGUACAAAAUAAUAAUCACAAAGAUUGAGAAGCUUCCAAUAUAUGAUUAAGCAAAAUGAAUAAUAUGAACAAAAAUAAGUUUUGGAAACAACACAUAGAAGCUUGAUUAUGAUAUACAUAUAAAUAUAUGGUAGAAGAUUCAAUACAAGAAAAAUUAAUACCUAGUAUUUCUGUGAAAAUUAAUAUUGAAUACAGAUAUAUAAACAAAACAGCACCCAAUUAUGUAUUAUAAUUAAUCAUUGUCAUUAUUGUGUCGAACUUAUCAUGACAUUAUUGUCAAAACUUUUGUAGUAAAUUAAAUGUGAGAGAACGAAAAAGUUAUGUAUUUGGGUUAUUAAAUUAAUAUCUCAAGUAAUAAUUUAGAAAAGUAGUCAAAUUAUUGAAAUAACGUAAAUUGUUUUCAUUAAGAAAAUAAUAGACAACACUAUAAUAUUUACAUGAUCAAUAAUUUUCUGAAUAUAGUAUUUCAAGAUUAUAAAAGUAUUAUGUUAGUGGGACAGAAUAAUUGAAUAUAGUAUUCAAAAUAACUCAUGGCUCAAUUGGAAUAUUGGAUAAUAACGAAACCAUAUUAAUUUCUUUCAUACAAUCAUGUUGAAUUCAUGUACAAUUGAAUUUUUUUCUUUUUUUUUUAAUUUUGACUAGAAGCAAUAAUUAUUUUCCCUGUAACCCAAAAAGAGAUUUUUUAAAAAUGCAUCUAAAUGGUCGAUCUGUUUAAAAAAUAACAUUUUUGUCGUCAUCCUUAACAGGAAAUUUUAUAAGAAAAAACAUAAAACAACUAACAAAUCUAUCUAGUUCAAUAUAGCAGAAUACAGUUGAUUGGGUCAAUAAGCCAUGUUUGGAUUCACUUUUCAUCUUAGCUAGAAACAAAAAUCCCUAUACAAAAAUUGGAGAAUCCUUUCUUCUAAAAACAUAUUUUUCUUUCAUACAAACAUAAAAACAUACAAACUCAUUUUCAUUAAACACUAUUUUCAAAUGCAGUCAACAGAAAGGAAUGUUAUAAUACGGACCAAGAAUAGCACUAAAGGUAAAUAUGAAUAAAAAGCAUAUUAUAUUGAAAAAUAAUGGAAAUCAAAAUUUCUACUACAGUCAAAAUCAUAUCCAUAGAUUCUAACUAUUCAUAUCAAUACGUUAAAUAUAAAUUUAAAGCUGCGUUUACACCAAAGUUAUCAACAAAGUGUUAAUAACUUAAUCCUUAUAGAUUCUAUUAGAUUGAACAUAACUUAUCAUACACAUGAUGAACAUAUGUGUUUGUCAAGUUCCGUUCAAUCUAAUAGAAUCUAUAAGGAUUGAGUUAUCAACACUUUGUUGAUAACUUUGGUGUAAACGCAGCUUAAGAUUCAUAGAUUAAUCUAUUCAUAGAUUCACUGAUAAAUGAUUCAUAGAAACGUGUAUAUCUUUAUCGAAAUCUAUAGAAUAAUGUAUUCUAAAGGAAGAAGUAGUUUACAGAGGAAUGUAUUCUAAGGAAGAAUGUAUUUUAUGGAAGAAUGUAUUUUAUUGAAGAAUUAUGACAAAUUGUAUUCAAUGGAAAAAUACCCAUUUUUGGGCUCCACGCCCAGAUGGUAAAAUUC
This is an RNA transcript of Nilaparvata lugens (brown planthopper), 3190 nucleotides long. It is a transcript of the gene named putative leucine-rich repeat-containing protein DDB_G0290503, with no coding region annotated. Lineage: Eukaryota; Metazoa; Arthropoda; Insecta; Hemiptera; Delphacidae. The record is from RefSeq and is a predicted model, not a curated record. The transcript has 13 exons.